This 1296-nucleotide ribosomal RNA is filed under the name Omosita colon. RNAcentral describes it as "16S ribosomal RNA". The stretch from base 1056 to 1214 matches the Rfam family "Archaeal large subunit ribosomal RNA", at positions 2542 to 2701 of the family's 2987-position model. Lineage: Eukaryota; Metazoa; Arthropoda; Insecta; Coleoptera; Nitidulidae. The record is from RNAcentral.
GAAUUAAAUAAAUUAUUAAAUUUUUAAAUUUAUAUUUUAUAUUAAAUUAAAUAAAUUAAUUUUUAUUAUUUUUUAAGAAAAAAUUUUUUUUAUAAUAGAUAAUUAGUAUUGUGAAAGAAAUUACUACAAUAUUUAUAAGAAAAGUUUAAUUUUUGUACCUUGUGUAUCAGGGUUUAUUAAUUAAGAAUUUUAUUUUAAAUAUUCUCGAAUUUAAAAGAGUUAAUUUAUUAUAUUUUUUAAUGUGGAAUAAUUAUUAUAAAUAAUAAAUUAGAAAUGAAACGUUAUUCGUUUUUAAAUUUAUCUAGUUUUUUAAGAAAAAAUUUUAAUUUGUUAAUUAUUAUAUAUUAAAUUUUUUAUUUAAUUUUAUAUAAAUAAUUAGUUAUAUUUUAAGGGAUAAGCUUUAAAAUAAAAUUUUAUAAAUAUUUAUAUUAAAUUUAUUAAUUGUAGGAUUAGAAUUUUUUAUCAUUAAUAAAAUGUUAUAAUUUAUUAUAUAAAUAAUUAUUAUUUAUAUUAAUUUUAAAUUUUAUAUUAAAAUAUAUUUUUUAAUUAUAAAAAUUUAGUAAUAAUGAUAGAAUUAGUAUAUAAUAUUAAUUUAUUAUUAAUUAAUAUAAUUAAGGUAUUUAAAAGGAAUUCGGCAAAUAAAUUUUUUACCUGUUUAUUAAAAACAUGUCCUUUUGAUAUUUAUUUAAGGUCUAGCCUGCCCAAUGAAUAAUUUUAAUGGCCGCGGUAUUUUGACCGUGCAAAGGUAGCAUAAUCAUUAGUUUUUUAAUUGAAAGCUGGAAUGAAGGGUUGAAUAAGAAAAUAGCUGUCUCUUAAAUAUUUUAUUUAGAACUUUAUUUUUAAGUUAAAAAGCUUAAAUUUUAUUUAAAGACGAGAAGACCCUUUAGAGUUUAAUAUAAAAUAUAAUUUUUAAGUUUUAGUAUUUAUAUAUAAAAGUUUUUAUUUUGUAUUUGAUUGGGGUGAUUAAAAAAUUUAAUAAACUUUUUUUUUUAUUUUACAUUUAUAUAUGAGUAUAUGAUCCAUAUUUUAUGAUUAUAAGAAUAAAUUACCUAAGGGAUAACAGCGUUAUUUUUUUUGAGAGUUCUUAUCGAAAAAAAAGAUUGCGACCUCGAUGUUGGAUUAAAAUUAAAUUAUGGUGUAGAAGCUAUAAAUUUAGGUCUGUUCGACCUUUAAUAUUUUACAUGAUCUGAGUUUAAACCGGUGUGAGCCAGGUUGGUUUCUAUCUUAAAUUUUUUUUUAUAUUUUAGUACGAAAGGACCAAAUAUAAAAUUUAAAAUUUAAAUUUUGAAUAUAUUA